AGAGUUUGAUCCUGGCUCAGAACGUACGCUGGCGGCACGCCUAAUACAUGCAAGUCGAACGCAGUAGCAAUACUGAGUGGCAAACGGGUGAGUAUAAUGUGGGAAUCUGCCUUUUGGUUUGGAAUAACACGAGGAAACUUGUGCUAAUACCGAAUAAGCCUUUACAGGGAAAGUUUUAAUGCCAAAAGAUGAGCCCGCACUUGAUUAGCUAGUUGGUGAGGUAAAGGCUCACCAAGGCAAUGAUCGAUAGCUGUUCUUAGAGGAAGACCAGCCACAUUGGGACUGAGACACGGCCCAGACUCCUACGGGAGGCAGCAGUAGGGAAUCUUGCACAAUGGGGGAAACCCUGAUGCAGCGAUGCCGCGUGAGUGAAGAAGGCCCUUGGGUUGUAAAACUCUUUCGUCGGGGAAGAAAAUGACUGUACCCGAAUAAGAAGGUCCGGCUAACUUCGUGCCAGCAGCCGCGGUAAUACGAAGGGACCUAGCGUAGUUCGGAAUUACUGGGCUUAAAGAGCUCGUAGGUGGUUAAAAUAGUUGAUGGUGAAAUCCCAAGGCUUAACCUUGGAACUGCCAUCAAAACUUUUUAGCUAGAGUAUGAUAGAGGAAAGUGGAAUUUCUAGUGUAGAGGUGAAAUUCGUAGAUAUUAGAAAGAACACCAAAUGCGAAGGCAACUUUCUGGAUCAUUACUGACACUGAG
RNAcentral lists this ribosomal RNA (696 nucleotides) under uncultured marine microorganism. RNAcentral's name for it is "bacterial SSU rRNA". It matches the Rfam family "Bacterial small subunit ribosomal RNA", at positions 8 to 750 of the family's 1533-position model. The record is from RNAcentral.